RNAcentral lists this ribosomal RNA (253 nucleotides) under uncultured bacterium. Its description in RNAcentral is "partial 16S ribosomal RNA". It matches the Rfam family "Bacterial small subunit ribosomal RNA", at positions 524 to 776 of the family's 1533-position model. The record is from RNAcentral.
UACGAGAGGCGCAAACGUUAUUCGGAAUUACUGGGCUUAAAGAGUUCGUAGGCGGCGCAGAAAGUAUGGUGUGAAAGCCCUUGGCUUAACCGAGGAAUUGCGCUCUAAACUACUGUGCUUGAGGGACCUAGAGGUGAGCGGAACUGAUGGUGGAGCGGUGAAAUGCGUUGAUAUCAGCAGGAACACCGGAGGCGAAGGCGGCUCACUGGGGGUCUUCUGACGCUGAGGAACGAAAGCCAGGGGAGCGAACGGG